AUCCCUUCUCAGCCUUUUGGCUAAGAUCAAGUGUAG
RNAcentral lists this small nuclear RNA (36 nucleotides) under Cervus elaphus hippelaphus. Lineage: Eukaryota; Metazoa; Chordata; Mammalia; Artiodactyla; Cervidae. The record is from RNAcentral.